GCCACCUACCGAAAAGGGAAAGCUGGGUCAGACGUGCCUGGGAGCCCCUCGGUCACAACCUGCCCCAGGGCGGGAAAGCUGACUGCGGUCACCCUGCUGCCCUCCCCUGGGGUCUGAACUGUGGCCAGGCUCUGCCUAGCGGCAGUUCCAUCACACCCGAGCUACAGAGCAGCUGCCGGACGGCUAAGGUUCCUGAGUGAUUCAGACCAGCUCGGCCCCCGAGAACUCAGUGUCCUUGCUGGUGAUCGAGCAGGCUGUGCGCGCCCAAGGUACAGUUUAAGCUUCCCCAAAGUACGCCAGCUCCCCGAACCGAGUGCACCGAGAUCCUGUUUGGAGAUGCCGAGACCACGUCCCUUCAAGGCACCUUCGCGUCCAGGCUGUCGGAGGCUGUACAGACCUGAGGAGGAGAGGGCGCCGUGAGCAGGAGCCGCUGGCCCGCACAGGCCCGCGAAUCCCAGAGGGACCGCUCACUUCAAUGUACAUGUUCCCGUGGAGCUCCGAGAUGGCCGUCCGAGGCAGCCCGCUCCGCAGGUGGAGCCCGUCACAGUUCUGAGACACCACGUGCUGCACCUGCGGGGCAAGUGAGGGCAAGUCAGCAGGUGGCCUGUGAGGGGCUGUGCUCAGUAGUGAAAGCAGUCCUUGACCCUGCCCAGAGUCCCCAAACCAGGGCAGCU
Long non-coding RNA from Acinonyx jubatus (cheetah), 674 nucleotides. RefSeq lists it as uncharacterized. NCBI's taxonomy places the organism in Eukaryota, Metazoa, Chordata, Mammalia, Carnivora, Felidae. The transcript is spliced from 3 exons. The record is from RefSeq and is a predicted model, not a curated record.